RNAcentral lists this ribosomal RNA (450 nucleotides) under uncultured bacterium. RNAcentral's name for it is "partial 16S ribosomal RNA". It matches the Rfam family "Bacterial small subunit ribosomal RNA", at positions 29 to 523 of the family's 1533-position model. The record is from RNAcentral.
AGCGAACAUUGGCGGUAGGCUUAACACAUGCAAGUCGAGCGAGGCGUAAUAGUCGAGCGGCGAACGGGUGAGUAAUACAUGGAAAUCUACCCUGAAGUGGGGGAUAACGUCCAGAAAUGGACGCUAAUACCGCAUAAUCCAUAUUGGGAAAGCGUUGCAGCGCUUUAGGAUGAGUCCAUGGCUGAUUAGCUUGUUGGUGAGGUAACGGCUCACCAAGGCGACGAUCAGUAGCUGGUCUGAGAGGAGGACCAGCCACACUGGAACUGAGACACGGUCCAGACUCCUACGGGAGGCAGCAGUGGGGAAUCUUGCGCAAUGGGGGCAACCCUGACGCAGCCAUACCGAGUGAGUGAUGAAGGUCUUCGGAUUGUAAAGCUCUUUCGGCGGGGACGACGAUGACGGUACCCGCAAAAGAAGUCACGGCUAACUUCGUGCCAGCCGCCGCCGUAA